GCCUGCUUCCGACUUCACUGGCAUCUGUCAAAAGUAGGGAGGAAGGGGGCAAGCUGGGACAGAGACUAGAAAAGCAGUUACGCUUUUUGUUUCUAGUAACACUUACCUGGAGUUUAUGGCUAGCUUCCAUGUUACCCCAGGAGUUUAUGGCUAGCUUCCAUGUUACCCCACGAGUAAGGACCAGCAGCGAUGAUGCCAGGGAGACCUAUCAGAUCACCAGCCACAGUCCAGCCCUCCUCACGGACGCAGACCACAAACCAGAAGAACGGAAUCAGCCAAAGGCUACCCAGGAUCACCUACCCGUGGAUGGCACUGCUCACAGAAGGCUGGACGCUUGCACACCAAUCAUACAUCAAGAAAAUGCAGCUAGGUGGUUAUGGUACAUGCUUGUAAACCCAGCACUCUGGGAAGCAGAGGCAGGCAGAUUUCUGAGUUCAAGGCCAGCCUGGUCUACAGAGUGAGCUCCAGGCCAGCCUGGUCUAUAGAAUGAGUACCAUGACACCCUAGGCUACACAGAGAACCCCUAUCUCGAAAAAUGAAACCAAACCAAACCAAAACCAUCACCACAGACACAAACAAACAAACAAACACGAAAAACAAAACAGCAUUUGGAAAUGGGGAGAGAUAGCUCAGUGGUUAAGAAAAUACAUUGCUCCUGGGAGGACCCUAGUUUGGUUUCUGAUGCCCAUUUUAGGUGGCUUACAACAGCCUUUAACUCCAGUUUCAUGGGGUUCAGCACCCCUUGUCUCCACAGGCACCCACACCUCCUCCACACAUAAUCAAACAUAUAAUACUAUACUAAACAUUAAAACAGCCUUCGUGAUCA
This is a long non-coding RNA of Apodemus sylvaticus (European woodmouse), 826 nucleotides long. RefSeq lists it as uncharacterized. The record is from RefSeq and is a predicted model, not a curated record. Lineage: Eukaryota; Metazoa; Chordata; Mammalia; Rodentia; Muridae. The transcript is spliced from 2 exons.